Molecule: ribosomal RNA, 397 nt
Filed under: uncultured bacterium
Lineage: Bacteria
Description: partial 16S ribosomal RNA
Rfam family: Bacterial small subunit ribosomal RNA
Source: RNAcentral
AAUCUUGCGCAAUGGGCGAAAGCCUGACGCAGCCAUGCCGCGUGAAUGAUGAAGUUCUUAGGAUUGUAAAAUUCUUUCACCUGGGACGAUAAUGACGGUACCCGGAUAAGACGCCCCUGCCAACUUCGUGCCAGCCGCCGCGGUACUACGAAGGGGGCGAGCGUUGCUCGGAAUUACUGGGCGUAAAGGGCGCGUAGGCGGACAUUUAAGUUAGGGGUGAAAUCCCAGAGAUAAACUCUGGGACUGCCUUUGAUACUGGGUGUCUUGAGUGUGAGAGAGGUAUGUGGAACUCCGAGUGUAGAGGUGAAAUUCGUAGAUAUUCGGAAGAACACCAGUGGCGAAGGCGACAUACUGGCUCAUUACUGACGCUGAGGCGCGAAAGCGUGGGGAGCAAACA